Molecule: ribosomal RNA, 433 nt
Filed under: uncultured bacterium
Lineage: Bacteria
Description: partial 16S ribosomal RNA
Rfam family: Bacterial small subunit ribosomal RNA
Source: RNAcentral
UUNUGUGCCGGAGUUAACGCAAUAAGUACCCCGCCUGGGGAGUACGACCGCAAGGUUGAAACUCAAAGGAAUUGACGGGGGCCCGCACAANCNGUGGAGUAUGUGGUUUAAUUNGACGCAACGCGAAGAACCUUNNCAGGUCUUGACANUGANGGACAGAACCAGAGAUGGUUCCUCUUNUUCNGAAGCCAGAAAACAGGUGGUGCACGGUUGUCGUCAGCUCGUGUCGUGAGAUGUUGGGUUAAGUCCCGCAACGAGCGCAACCCCUAUNUUAUGUUGCCAGCACNUAANGGUGGGAANUCAUGAGAGACUGCCGCAGACAAUGCGGAGGAAGGCGGGGAUGACGUCAAAUCAUCAUGCCCCUUAUGACCUGGGCUACACACGUACUACAAUGGGAGUUAAUAGACGGAAGCAAGAUCGCGAGANGGAGCAA